RNAcentral lists this ribosomal RNA (253 nucleotides) under uncultured bacterium. Its description in RNAcentral is "partial 16S ribosomal RNA". It matches the Rfam family "Bacterial small subunit ribosomal RNA", at positions 524 to 776 of the family's 1533-position model. The record is from RNAcentral.
UACGUAGGGGGCUAGCGUUGUCCGGAAUCAUUGGGCGUAAAGAGCGUGUAGGCGGCUUUGCAAGUCGGGUGUGAAAGCCCUCGGCUCAACCGAGGAAGUGCGCCCGAAACUGCAUGGCUUGAGUACCGGAGAGGGUGGCGGAAUUCCCCAAGUAGAGGUGAAAUUCGUAGAUAUGGGGAGGAACACCGGUGGCGAAGGCGGCCACCUGGACGGAUACUGACGCUGAGGCGCGAAAGCGUGGGGAGCAAACAGG